GUGAGGUAAUGGCUCACCAAGGCAUCGACGGGUAGCUGGUCUGAGAGGACGAUCAGCCACACUGGGACUGAGACACGGCCCAGACUCCUACGGGAGGCAGCAGUGGGGAAUCUUGCGCAAUGGGCGAAAGCCUGAUGCAGCAACGCCGCGUGGGGGAAGAAGGCUCUCGGGUCGUAAACCCCUUUCAGCAGGGACGAAAAUGACGGUACCUGCAGAAGAAGGUGCGGCCAACUACGUGCCAGCAGCCGCGGUGACACGUAGGCACCAAGCGUUAUCCGGAUUUAUUGGGCGUAAAGAGCUCGUAGGCGGUUUGGUAAGUCGGGUGUGAAAACUCUGGGCUCAACCCAGAGAGGCCACUCGAUACUGCUAUGACUAGAGUACGGUAGGGGAGCGGGGAAUUCCUGGUGUAGCGGUGAAAUGCGCAGAUAUCAGGAGGAACACCAGCGGCGAAGGCGGCACUCUGGGCCGGUACUGACGCUGGGGAGCGAAAGCAUGGGGAGCAAACAGGAUUAGAUACCCUGGUAGUCCAUGCCGUAAACGGUGGGCACUAGGUAUGGGACCUUAUCAACGGGUUCCGUGCCGUAGCUAACGCAUUAAGUG
Molecule: ribosomal RNA, 600 nt
Filed under: uncultured Actinomycetes bacterium
Lineage: Bacteria; Bacillati; Actinomycetota; Actinomycetes
Description: bacterial SSU rRNA
Rfam family: Bacterial small subunit ribosomal RNA
Source: RNAcentral